CAGUGACGUUCACCUUGUGCUCUCCAUUUUGUGCAGUUCCAGACUCUGGCCCACAUUUAGGAUGACUUUUCCCUUCCUCUUUAAUAAACACUUCCAGAAGCAGAUCAUAGACAGUGUGUUGCCAUGCUAUUCUCAAUCGGAUUAAACUGAGAGUGAAGAUGGGCUCUAUCCUGCCUCAGUAUUAUUGCUUCAGUCGAUAGACCAAGAACACAGUGGCAGACUUCAAAAUACUCUGGGGACCUGAGAGCAGGGAGAAUUCCUGCACCUUUCUGGAGAGGAGGAAAACGAAAGAGAUUCAGACAGAUACAACAGCACAUAUCAGGGGAAGGGGUUCAGAUGGAGAGUCUGACUUACCAUCACAGAGGAUUGGAACAGACAACGCCACGUCACAGAGGGACUGUUCACACAGUCCCUGAGGUGGAAGACUCUUUAACCAAGUGUCACAGGGUACAAGCAAGCCUCCUAGGAGCAAGCCGCUGGAUCCAUCAUGUGAAUGGUCCCAGGACAGACAGAGCUUCUAUCCUAAGGACCAAGCUGACUUUCUAUAGCAAGAUGUCAUCAGCGUCUUUUUGA
This 573-nucleotide long non-coding RNA is filed under the name Rattus norvegicus (Norway rat). Its description in RNAcentral is "long non-coding RNA NONRATT032318". Lineage: Eukaryota; Metazoa; Chordata; Mammalia; Rodentia; Muridae. The record is from RNAcentral.